GUGGGGAAUAUUCCGCAAUGGACGAAAGUCUGACGGAGCAACGCCGCGUGAGUGAUGAAGGUUUUCGGACUGUAAAGCUCUGUUGUUUAGGACGAAAGUGCCUGUUGCAAACAGUUACAGGUAUUGACGGUACUAAACGAGGAAGCCACGGCUAACUACGUGCCAGCAGCCGCGGUAAUACGUAGGUGGCAAGCGUUGUCCGGAAUUAUUGGGCGUAAAGAGCAUGUAGGCGGGAAUCUAAGUCUGUUGUGAAAAUGCGGGGCUCAACCCCGUAUUGCGAUGGAAACUGGGUUUCUUGAGUGCAGGAGAGGAAAGGGGGAUUCCCAGUGUAGCGGUGAAAUGCGUAGAUAUUGGGAGGAACACCAGUGGCGAAGGCGCCUUUCUGGACUGUGUCUGACGCUGAGAUGCGAAAGCCAGGGUAGCGAACGGGAUUAGAAACCCUUGUAGUCC
This 450-nucleotide ribosomal RNA is filed under the name uncultured bacterium. RNAcentral describes it as "partial 16S ribosomal RNA". It matches the Rfam family "Bacterial small subunit ribosomal RNA", at positions 354 to 796 of the family's 1533-position model. The record is from RNAcentral.